AAUCGCACGUGCUGGGAGGGGCGGCGGCCAAGUGGUCCGGGAGCCGCGCGUUGGGGCGUAGGGGACCGUGGCUUGGAGCCCGGGAGGGCUGCGAGCCUACUCAAGCUGCUUUUCUUCUUCCAUCACCUUCUCCUUUCGCUGUGCACGGGCCACGCAGUGGAACUGCAGCGGUGAAAACGACUGAAUUUGGGGCCCUGUAACCUCCUGGCAACCCUGAGGAGCGGCAGCGGAAACACAAGUAAGAAUGGAGGGUGCUCUUCUCCCCAGAAGCUAACAAAGGGUCAGUCUUUCUCUGUGAAAUGGCUGUAGAAUAUAAACGGAGGCUCCUGGCAUUUCCCUACUGGCUCAGUUCAAGAACCACCCACUCCGAGUUGUCUUCCUGGAUUUUCUCAGCCCAAAGUAAUCCUUCUUUUUCUGAGGUACAAAAGAGGUUCAACAGUGAGUAUUGUAGAUGCUGAGCUUCAUCUGUGAACAAAACCUACCAAGUCUCUGACCACAUGGAAUUCAUGAGGUGGACGCAGGGCCACACAGGAACAACUCACAGCAAACUACAGGGACACUCAUGACAUGUCUGUGCCCAGGGAAGUCCACCAAGUCUCCAGGUCUGAGGCAUUUAUGAGACAAAACUCAAGUCUCAAAUGAAAGGUACUUAAAGCCAGGAUCCCUGAAGACUUCCUUAUGGAUUUUGUCUCUGGGAACACGGCUCAGCAGCAUGGACACAGAAACAGCAGUGGUGGCUGAUUGCAUUGAUCCAGAUUUGGAAGUUGUGUGGCAGUUAAAGCAGAAGGAUAAGGUACCUCUUCUUUUGUGGUGUUGGAGAAGACUCUUGAGAGUCCCUUGGACUGCAAGAAGAUCAAAUCAGUCAAUCCUAAAGGAAAUCAACCCUGAAAAUUCAUUGGAAGGACUGAUGCUGAAGCUGAAGCUCAAGCUUCAAUACUUUGGCCACCUGAUGUGAAGAGCCAACUCACUGGAAAAGACCCUGAUGCUGGGAAAGAUUGAAGGCAGGAGGAGAAGGGGACGACAGAAGACGAAAUGGUUGGAUGGCAACACCGACUCAAUAGGCAUGAACUUGGACAAACUCCGGGAGAUAGUGGAGGAUAGAGGAGCCUGGCGUGCUGGGAUCCAUGAGGUCUCAAAGAAUCAGACAUGACUUAGCGAUUGAACAACAACAAUCUCUUCUUCCACCACUUCCUCAACCUCACCCUGAGUGAUCUCCUCCACUCUUUUUUCAGUUUAAAAUGUUUUUAUUUGAUGCAUAUAGUUUUUUUCUUUUUAAAAAAGCAUACCAAAGGCUUAUACAAAAAAAAAAAAGGCUUAUACAAAGUGAUAAGCAGAAGACCCUAUGCCCACCCCUUUCAUGCUUCCCAAAAGCAAUCUCUCUUUGAAGUAUUCCUUAUGGUGUUUACCUCAGUCAUUGAAAAGAAUAUGAUUAUCCCACUGUUUCUUUGUUUUUUUUCCAGUAAAAUAUACAUUGCACAGAUUUACCAUUUCGACUAUUUUAUGUGUACAGUGGCAUUAAGCACAGUUGUGUUGUGGUACAGUCAUCACCACAAGCCAUCUACAGAAGUUUUUCAUUCUCUCAAAC
Long non-coding RNA from Bos taurus (domestic cattle), 1585 nucleotides. The record is from Ensembl. NCBI's taxonomy places the organism in Eukaryota, Metazoa, Chordata, Mammalia, Artiodactyla, Bovidae.